AUGCAAGUCGAACGAGGCCUUCGGGUCUAGUGGCGAACGGCGGAGUAAUAUAUAAGCAACGUGCCUUGAAGACCGGGACAAACGCAGAAAUGUCAUGAAUACCGGAUGUGGCUGAGAGUCGGCAUCGACUUUCAAUUAAAUGGUUUUUCGCUUCAAGAGCGGCUUAUAGUGCAUCAGGUAGUUGGUGGGGUAAUGGCCUACCAAGCCAACGACGCAUAGGGGGUCUGAGAGGAUGAUCCCCCCGAGAGGGACUGAGACACGGCCCUCACACCUACGGGUGGCAGCAGUUGGGAAUCGUUGUCAAUGGGGGAAACCCUGAACACGCGACACCGCGUGGAGGAUGAAGGCCUUAGGGUUGUAAACUCCUUUUGCAUGGAAAGACUUAGGACGGUACCAUGCGAAUAAGCUCCGGCUAACUACGUGCCAGCAGCCGCGGUAAGACGUAGGGAGCAAGCGUUGUCCGGAUUUACUGGGCGUAAAGAGUUCGUAGGCGGUCUAUUAAGUGUGAAGUGAAAUCCCCAGCGCUCAACGCGGGAACUGCUUCGCAUACUGGCAGACUUGAGGAUUGGAGAGGUAACUGGAAUUCCUGGUGUAGCGGUGACAUGCAUUGAUAUCAGGAGGAACACCAAAGGCGAAGGCAGGUUACUGGCCAAUAUCUGACGCUGAGGAACGAAAGCGUGGGUAGCAAACAGAAUUAGAUACUCUGGUAGUCCACGCCCUAAACUAUGGAUACUAGACGUAAGAGGUAUCGACCCCUCUUGUGUCGCAGCUAACGCAUUAAGUAUCCCGCCUGGGGAGUACGGCCGCAAGGUUGAAACUCAAAUGAAUUGACGGGGACCCGCACAAGCGGUGGAGCAUGUGGAUUAAUUCGAUACUAACCGAAGAACCUUACCUAGGUUUGACAUCGAUGGCAAGACUCAGAGAUGAGUCCCUCUCCUCACAAGGGAGACCAGAAGACACUUGUUGCAUGGCUGUCGUCAGCUCGUGCCG
RNAcentral lists this ribosomal RNA (990 nucleotides) under uncultured bacterium. RNAcentral describes it as "bacterial SSU rRNA". It matches the Rfam family "Bacterial small subunit ribosomal RNA", at positions 55 to 1067 of the family's 1533-position model. The record is from RNAcentral.